Non-coding RNA from Castor canadensis (American beaver), 2259 nucleotides. Lineage: Eukaryota; Metazoa; Chordata; Mammalia; Rodentia; Castoridae. The record is from RefSeq and is a predicted model, not a curated record.
UCCUCAGUGUCCUUGGGUUAACAGGAGAGGCUAAGUGGAUCAAGAGCCUGUGCUGCAGACUGACAGGAGGUUGGUGCUGUGUCCACCAGGGUAGGAAGCAGGCAGGCAUCAUGGAGCAGCCAAUCAGAGGAGGAGGGGACUGCAGAGGAACCAAGUGAUCCUGCUGCAGCUGAACUGUCCUUGGAGGGUGGGAGCCAAGGGAAGGGGAGGAGGAGAGGGAGUGGGGAUGGACAUUCCACAGGCUUUUUUGGCCCCUGCCAGAGACAGGGGGGUCAAAGAAAAAGGGAAAGGAGCAAGCCAGGAAGCCAGAUGACAGGAGCAUCAAGACAAGGCUGUUUCUGUGUUUGAGAAACUUUGCCUGGGAGAUAAAAUUAGACCUAGAGCUUGCUGACAGGGGUCUGAAGCGUGGGGCAUGGACCCUUCACUGGGAUGGCAAGGGAAUUCUGUCCCUGAAGAUGGGACUGAAGCUGGGAUCAAGCGUUUCCUGGAAGACACCACUGAUGAUGCUGAACUGAGCAAGUUCGUGAAGGAUUUCCCAGGAAGCGAGCACUGCCACCCACCAGAGGCCAAGACCAGGCCCCAAUUCCCGGAGCCAAGGCCCCAGGCCCCAGACAUCUAUGAUGAUGACCUGGAGUUCAGAGCCCCCUCAUGGCCCCAGUCCUCUGACAGCCAGCAGAACUUCUGUGCCCCAGCCCCUCUGAGCCCCUCCACCAGGCCCCGUAGCCCAUGGGGCAAGCUUGAUCCUUAUGAUUCCUCUGAGGAUGACAAGGAGUAUGUAGGCUUUGCAACCCUCCCCAACCAAGUUCACCGAAAGUCUGUGAAGAAAGGCUUUGACUUUACCCUCAUGGUGGCAGGAGAGUCUGGCCUGGGAAAAUCCACUCUUGUCAACAGCCUCUUCCUCACUGAUCUGUACAGGGACCGGAAACUCCUUGGUGCUGAAGAGCGGAUCAUGCAAACUGUGGAGAUUACAAAGCAUGCAGUGGAUAUAGAAGAGAAGGGUGUGAGGCUGCGGCUCACCAUUGUGGACACACCAGGGUUUGGGGAUGCAGUCAACAACACAGAGUGCUGGAAACCUGUGGCAGAAUACAUCGACCAGCAGUUUGAGCAGUAUUUCCGAGAUGAGAGUGGCCUGAACCGCAAGAACAUCCAAGACAACAGGGUGCACUGCUGCCUGUACUUCAUCUCACCCUUCGGCCACGGGCUCCGGCCAUUGGAUGUUGAAUUCAUGAAGGCCCUGCAUCAGCGGGUCAACAUCGUGCCUAUCUUGGCUAAGGCGGACACAUUGACACCUCCCGAAGUGGACCGCAAGAAACGCAAAAUCCGGGAGGAGAUUGAGUACUUUGGAAUCAAGAUCUAUCAGUUCCCUGAUUGUGAUUCUGAUGAGGAUGAGGACUUCAAAUUACAAGACCAAGCCCUAAAGGAAAGUAUCCCAUUUGCAGUAAUUGGCAGCAACACUGUGGUGGAAGCCAGAGGGCGGAGAGUUCGGGGCCGACUCUACCCAUGGGGCAUUGUGGAAGUGGAAAACCCAGGGCACUGCGACUUUGUGAAGCUGAGGACAAUGCUGGUGCGUACCCACAUGCAGGACCUGAAGGAUGUGACACGGGAAACACAUUAUGAGAACUACAGGGCACAGUGCAUCCAGAGUAUGACCCGCCUAGUGGUGAAGGAACGAAAUCGCAAGUAUGGCCAGAAUCUAAGACAAAGCUGGCAGGGGGAUCCCAAGACCUUCCCUUGUUCUUCUAUUGGCCCUGAGCUCAACCUAAGUUGGUGCUGGGGUCCCCCUAACUUUACCACCCUCCUUUCCCCUUCCCCUCAGCAAACUGACUCGAGAGAGUGGUACUGACUUCCCCAUCCCUGCUGUCCCACUAGGGACAGAUCCAGAAACUGAGAAGCUAAUCCGAGAGAAAGAUGAGGAGCUGCGGCGGAUGCAGGAGAUGCUACACAAAAUCCAAAGACAGAUGAAGGAGACCCAUUAACUGCUUUUGGACCUGGAUAUUUAAACCUCCUCUUCUUUCUGCCCAUGCCAGCCUCUCCCAGCACCAGCUCUGCUCAGGCCCUUGCAGCUACUGCCACUUCGCCUUAUAUCCCUGCUGACUCCUCAGAGAAUCAGAGGAAAUAAAAUUUAAUAAAUCUAUAGGUGGCUUCUGGUGUUCCUGUCUGUAUGUUUACCACCUCCUAAAGAGCAAGAGCCUAGGACUCAGUUUGAAAGGCUGAUGGAAAGGGUUGUUGGUUUCUGGCUUUUAGUAGGGAAGGGAGAGU